RNAcentral lists this ribosomal RNA (930 nucleotides) under uncultured bacterium. RNAcentral describes it as "bacterial SSU rRNA". It matches the Rfam family "Bacterial small subunit ribosomal RNA", at positions 56 to 962 of the family's 1533-position model. The record is from RNAcentral.
UGCAGUCGAACGGUAACAGACCGCUGGGAUCCCUUCGGGGUGACCUUGGUGCUGACGAGUGGCGGACGGGUGAGUAACGCUUGGGAAUCUACCCUGUAGUGGGGGACAACCCGGGGAAACUCGGGCUAAUACCGCAUACGUCCUACGGGAGAAAGAGGGCCUCUUCUUGAAAGCUCUCGCUACUGGAUGAGCCCAAGUCGGAUUAGCUUGUUGGUGAGGUAAUAGCUCACCAAGGCUACGAUCCGUAGCUGGUCUGAGAGGACGAUCAGCCACACUGGGACUGAGACACGGCCCAGAUUCCUACGGGAGGCAGCAGUGGGGAAUAUUGGACAAUGGGGGCAACCCUGAUCCAGCAAUGCCGCGUGUGUGAAGAAGGCCUGCGGGUUGUAAAGCACUUUCAGCAGAGAAGAAAAGCCUAGGGCUAAUACCUCUGGGUCUUGACGUAACCUGCAGAAGAAGCACCGGCUAACUCCGUGCCAGCAGCCGCGGUAAUACGGAGGGUGCGAGCGUUAAUCGGAAUUACUGGGCGUAAAGCGCGCGUAGGCGGUCUGGUCAGUCGGAUGUGAAAGCCCCGGGCUUAACCUGGGAAUUGCAUUCGAAACUGCCUGGCUAGAGUAUGGGAGAGGGAAGUGGAAUUUCCGGUGUAGCGGUGAAAUGCGUAGAUAUCGGAAGGAACACCAGUGGCGAAGGCGGCUUCCUGGCCCAAUACUGACGCUGANGUGCGAAAGCGUGGGGAGCAAACAGGAUUAGAUACCCUGGUAGUCCACGCCGUAAACGAUGAGGACUGGAUGUUGGGAGGGUAGCCUCUCAGUGUCGCAGCUAACGCGUUAAGUCCUCCGCCUGGGGAGUACGCCGGCNNCGGUAAAACUCAAAGGAAUUGACGGGGACCCGCACAAGCGGUGGANCAUGUGGUUUAAUUCGAUGCAACGC